Molecule: ribosomal RNA, 514 nt
Filed under: uncultured bacterium
Lineage: Bacteria
Description: partial 16S ribosomal RNA
Rfam family: Bacterial small subunit ribosomal RNA
Source: RNAcentral
GAUGAACGCUGGCGGCGUGCCUAAUACAUGCAAGUCGAGCGAACAGAUGAGAAGCUUGCUUCUCUGAUGUUAGCGGCGGACGGGUGAGUAACACGUGGGUAACCUACCUAUAAGACUGGGAUAACUCCGGGAAACCGGGGCUAAUACCGGAUAAUGUUUUGAACCGCAUGGUUCAAUAGUGAAAGACGGUUUCGGCUGGCACUUAUAGAUGGACCCGCGCCGUAUUAGCUAGUUGGUAAGGUAACGGCUUACCAAGGCGACGAUACGUAGCCGACCUGAGAGGGUGAUCGGCCACACUGGAACUGAGACACGGUCCAGACUCCUACGGGAGGCAGCAGUAGGGAAUCUUCCGCAAUGGGCGAAAGCCUGACGGAGCAACGCCGCGUGAGUGAUGAAGGUCUUCGGAUCGUAAAACUCUGUUGUUAGGGAAGAACAAAUUUGUUAGUAACUGAACAAGUCUUGACGGUACCUAACCAGAAAGCCACGGCUAACUACGUGCCAGCCGCCGCGGUAA